UAAGCCCCGCUCAGAAGUCAAGAGCAGCAACGCCGCCGCCUCCGUGCGGCCUUUCAGGACGCGGCCUGUCCUUAUUCUCGUGCCUCGUCCUCUCUGGUCGCCCCGGACAAAGCCCCCGGUGCCGGCAGCUCCCUUCCCUCCAAAUUCCCUUCGGGUCAGUGUGCUACCAGCCCCGGCCGCGCGCUUUCCCUUCUCCUGGGGAUCUAGCCCCCCACGCUGAUGCCCCGACCGUCGCCCGCGGACUCCCAGCCCCCCUCCCCUCGCCUCCUCCCCUGAGCAGUUGGUAGGCCUGGCCUUGGGGCCACAGAGCUGAGUU
This is a non-coding RNA of Myotis davidii, 316 nucleotides long. The record is from Rfam. Lineage: Eukaryota; Metazoa; Chordata; Mammalia; Chiroptera; Vespertilionidae.